GAGAAAUAAGAGUUCAAAUUUCUGGUCUCAGCUUUUCUGGCUUCUAAAAAUUUAAAAAUGCAUAUAAAGCAAACUGAACUCCUCCUCAGCCCUGACUAGCUAUCCCUUGUUCGGAGCCUUGUGAGUAGUUAGAGGCACAACUAAUGAGUUAAGUAUUUGGAUAGGGCCCUGUUAAUUUACAAAGAAUCUAAACCAACUCCCUUUUCCCUUCAUUUUUGCUGGACACAGUAGGAUCAUAACAAACAUGCAGUAUCCUUGCUUAUAAUUUCAGGCCUGCCCCUAACCAUUACUCUUCCCAAAAUUUUUUGGGUGUCACCUUGCCUCUGUUUAUCAGUGACUGCUUCUGCUACAGACAUGCAGCUGCAUCCAAUUCAGUUCCUAGCCUAUGUGUUUAUAUUUGACCUUGUCAUGUGGCAUUCAUCAUCAAUCCUUGAAGUUGUGUUUUUCACAGUUUUGGCUAGCAAAUAUCUAUGCAGUAUACCAUUUAACUUGAUUAAGUGUUGUUAUUCCAUUUACAUCUUCAACAAGGCGUGUGGCUGCCCAUAGAUCAUGCCUUGCUCAUCAUUCAGCAAGGCAACACCAUUUGCUUGGAAAUGCAGGGAAUACUUUACAAAAAAGCUGGAUAUUUGAAGCAGCAAAGCAUGAAGUUGAGAGAUCUGGCUCUGCUGAAAAUUACAGAUGUAUACACGUAUCGUGCAGCUUGGCUCUGCCAGUUCUUCCAGUGCAAACCUGCUCCCAGUAACUCUCCUGAAGGAGAGGAGUUUAAAGAAAUUCCAGCGUGGAAGGGAUUUACACUGUUACCAGCAGGAAGACGUUGCAAAUAGGAGACCGUCUUCUUACUAUACUGAAGGCGAUAGCUAAAAAGGAGAGGAAUUCAAAAUAAAAGGAAAAAAAAUCAAAUUUGUUCA
This 908-nucleotide long non-coding RNA is filed under the name Numida meleagris (helmeted guineafowl). RNAcentral's name for it is "lncRNA (ENSNMEG00000006783.1)". The record is from RNAcentral. Lineage: Eukaryota; Metazoa; Chordata; Aves; Galliformes; Numididae.